GGGGAGAAGAAAUAUUAAGGGAGAAUUAANGGGAGAAAUAUUUUUUCAAUUGUACAGGUACUGCUAACUCUACGGUUGUCCAUUAGUUUGUAUGUGUUGUAGGUAAACCUGAGUUGCUUUUAAAAAGAGAGUUUUUGAUCAUCAUCAAAAAGGGGGAGAUUGUUACCAAUAUAGAGUAUUGGUAAAACCUAAAGAUGAGUUUUGAU
RNAcentral lists this long non-coding RNA (206 nucleotides) under Vigna radiata. RNAcentral describes it as "long non-coding RNA (VRAD_LNC008818)". The record is from RNAcentral. Lineage: Eukaryota; Viridiplantae; Streptophyta; Magnoliopsida; Fabales; Fabaceae.